UACGGAGGGUGCAAGCGUUAUCCGGAUUCACUGGGUUUAAAGGGUGCGUAGGUGGGUUGGUAAGUCAGUGGUGAAAUCUCCGUGCUUAACAUGGAACUGCCAUUGAUACUACUGAUCUUGAAUUUUCAGGAGGUAAGCGGAAUAUGUCAUGUAGCGGUGAAAUGCUUAGAUAUGAACAUAGAACACCAAUUGCGAAGGCAGCUUACUACAGGAAUAUUGACACUGAUGCACGAAAGCGUGGGGAUCAAACAGG
Molecule: ribosomal RNA, 253 nt
Filed under: uncultured bacterium
Lineage: Bacteria
Description: partial 16S ribosomal RNA
Rfam family: Bacterial small subunit ribosomal RNA
Source: RNAcentral